ACAUACGACCACAGGGUGUGGAGAACAGGGCUUCCCGUUCGCUCAGCCGUACUUAAGCCACACGCCGGUGAGUUAGUAGUUGGGUGGGUGACCACCAGCGAAUCCUCACUGUUGU
This 115-nucleotide ribosomal RNA is filed under the name Penicillium salamii. Lineage: Eukaryota; Fungi; Ascomycota; Eurotiomycetes; Eurotiales; Aspergillaceae. The record is from RNAcentral.